GAGUUUGAUCGUGGCUCAGGAUGAACGCUGGCGGCGUGCCUAACACAUGCAAGUCGAACGGAUCCAUAUUGAAACCUAGUGAUGUAUGGAUUAGUGGCGGACGGGUGAGUAACGCGUGGAUAACCUGCCGUAUACAGGGGGAUAACACUUAGAAAUAGGUGCUAAUACCGCAUAAGCGCACGGUUCCGCAUGGAACAGUGUGAAAAACUCCGGUGGUAUACGAUGGAUCCGCGUCUGAUUAGCCAGUUGGCGGGGUAACGGGCCCACCAAAGCGACGAUCAGUAGCCGGCCUGAGAGGGUGAACGGCCACAUUGGGACUGAGACACGGCCCAAACUCCUACGGGAGGCAGCAGUGGGGAAUAUUGCACAAUGGGGGAAACCCUGAUGCAGCGACGCCGCGUGAGUGAAGAAGUAUUUCGGUACGUAAAGCUCUAUCAGCAGGGAAGAAAAACCGGCCUUAGGGCCGCCAGACGGUACCUGACUAAGAAGCCCCGGCUAACUACGUGCCAGCAGCCGCGGUAAC
Molecule: ribosomal RNA, 523 nt
Filed under: uncultured microorganism
Description: bacterial SSU rRNA
Rfam family: Bacterial small subunit ribosomal RNA
Source: RNAcentral